UAGGGAAUCUUCCGCAAUGGGCGAAAGCCUGACGGAGCAACGCCGCGUGAGUGAUGAAGGUCUUCGGAUCGUAAAACUCUGUUAUUAGGGAAGAACAAAUGUGUAAGUAACUAUGCACGUCUAGACGGUACCUAAUCAGAAAGCUACGGCUAACUACGUGCCAGCAGCCGCGGUAAUACGUAGGUGGCAAGCGUUAUCCGGAAUUAUUGGGCGUAAAGCGCGAGUAGGCGGUUUUUUAAGUCUGAUGUGAAAGCCCACGGUUCAACCAUGGAGGGUCAUUGGAAACUAGCAAACUUGAGUGCAGAAGAGGAAAAUGGAAUUCCAUGUGUAGCGGUAAAAUGCGCAGAGAUAUGGAGCAACACCAGUGGCGAAGGCGUCUUUCUGGUCUGUAACUGACGCUGAUGUGCGAAAGCGUGGGGAUCAAACAGG
RNAcentral lists this ribosomal RNA (429 nucleotides) under Actinomycetes bacterium. RNAcentral's name for it is "Actinobacteria bacterium partial 16S ribosomal RNA". It matches the Rfam family "Bacterial small subunit ribosomal RNA", at positions 355 to 776 of the family's 1533-position model. The record is from RNAcentral. Lineage: Bacteria; Bacillati; Actinomycetota; Actinomycetes.